GCCGGACAUGGUGGCUCAUGUCUGUAAUCCUAGCACUUUCGGAGGCUGAGGUGGGAGGAUCACCUGAGGUCAGGAGUUUGACACCGGCCUGGCCAACAUGGUGAAACCCCAUCUCUA
This 117-nucleotide non-coding RNA is filed under the name Nomascus leucogenys (northern white-cheeked gibbon). The record is from Rfam by way of RNAcentral. Lineage: Eukaryota; Metazoa; Chordata; Mammalia; Primates; Hylobatidae.